GAUGAAGAACUUAGCGAAAUGCGAUAAGUAGUGUGAAUUGCAGAAUUCAGUGAAUCAUCGAAUCUUUGAACGCACAUUGCGCCCCUUGGUAUCCCGAGGGGCAUGCCUGUUCGAGCGUCAUUUCACCACUCAAGCCUGGCUUGGUGUUGGGCGACGUCCUCUUUGGGGACGCGCCUCGAAACGCUCGGCGGCGUGGCACCGGCUUUAAGCGUAGCAGAAUCUUUCGCUUUGGAAGUCGGGGCCCCGUCUGCCGGAAGACCUGCUCGCAAGGUUGACCUCGGAUCAGGCAGGGAUACCCGCUGAACUUAAGCAUAUCAAUAAGCGGAGGA
RNAcentral lists this unclassified non-coding RNA (329 nucleotides) under soil metagenome. RNAcentral's name for it is "partial contains 5.8S ribosomal RNA, internal transcribed spacer 2, and large subunit ribosomal RNA". The stretch from base 1 to 120 matches the Rfam family "5.8S ribosomal RNA", at positions 35 to 154 of the family's 154-position model. The record is from RNAcentral.